UACGUAGGGUGCAAGCGUUAUCCGGAAUUAUUGGGCGUAAAGAGCUCGUAGGCGGUUUGUCACGUCUGCUGUGAAAACUGGAGGCUCAACCUCCAGCCUGCAGUGGGUACGGGCAGACUAGAGUGCGGUAGGGGAGAUUGGAAUUCCUGGUGUAGCGGUGGAAUGCGCAGAUAUCAGGAGGAACACCGGUGGCGAAGGCGGGUCUCUGGGCAGUAACUGACGCUGAGGAGCGAAAGCGUGGGGAGCGAACAGG
Molecule: ribosomal RNA, 253 nt
Filed under: uncultured bacterium
Lineage: Bacteria
Description: partial 16S ribosomal RNA
Rfam family: Bacterial small subunit ribosomal RNA
Source: RNAcentral